AAAAAUUGAAAAAAAUUAUAAUUGCUGGAUUUAUUCAAAUCAGAUUAAAACCGAAACCAAAUCGAGAGAUGCAGUCCAAUUUCCAGUCCUUAUCUAGGGACCAGAAGAGUAGGCCAGGCCUAUCCACAGAUGCAAGGUAAGAAAGAGGACUUACAUGAGAAAACCACAGUUGGUACUCAUACAAACUCAACAAAAAUCAAGGCAGAAUCGGUAGAUGGCAUAUGCUAAGCGAUGGAGACAGGAAAUUAUCAAAUGGGGUUCAAUGUGAAAUUUUCAGCUCCUGGCCAGAAGAUAGCAAGUACCUUUGAUCUA
This is a long non-coding RNA of Hevea brasiliensis (rubber tree), 312 nucleotides long. RefSeq lists it as uncharacterized. The record is from RefSeq and is a predicted model, not a curated record. The transcript has 2 exons. NCBI's taxonomy places the organism in Eukaryota, Viridiplantae, Streptophyta, Magnoliopsida, Malpighiales, Euphorbiaceae.